This 489-nucleotide ribosomal RNA is filed under the name Triticum aestivum (bread wheat). Its description in RNAcentral is "partial small subunit ribosomal RNA". The record is from RNAcentral. Lineage: Eukaryota; Viridiplantae; Streptophyta; Magnoliopsida; Poales; Poaceae.
AUGAAAGCGAGAUUUCGUAAGCAUGUUGGUGAGGUCAAUAGUCCUCAUUGUGAAGCCGAAGAGAAAUAUAAUUUGUUCAUCAAACCUAAAGCAUCAAUCCGUGAGGCAAUGGCCUCACAAACCACACAAUACAAGGCACAAUAUCUAGCUCGGUUGAAAUGGUCACUUGAGUGCAUAAAAUUUAUUUUGCAUGAGGGGUUGGCUUUUCAUGGUCAUGAUGAGGGAAAGGAUUCAAAAAAUAAAGGAAAUUUUCGAGAACUUUUGCAAUGGUUGGCAGGCAACUUUGAAGAAGUUAAUAAGGUAGUUUUAGGAAAUGCUCCACAAAAUUGUCAGAUGAUAGAUCACAAGAUUCAAAAACAGCUUAUUGGUUCUUGUGCUCAGGAAACAACAAAGUUUGUCAUAGAGGAACUUGGUGAUGAGUGUUUUGCAAUUCUUGCUAAUGAAUCUAGUGAUGCAUACCAGCAAGAACAGUUAGCUCUUUGCUUGUGA